CAAUAGCGUAUAUUAAAGUUGUUGCAGUUAAAAAGCUCGUAGUUGGAUUUGUGGCGUACGGUGUGUUCCGGGCACUUGUUGUCUGAGUAACCUGCUGUUGCCAUCCUUGGGUGGAACCUGUGUGGCAUUAGGUUGUCGUGCAGGGGAUGCCCAUCAUUUACUGUGAAAAAAUUAGAGUGUUCAAAGCAGGCUUAUGCCGUUGAAUAUAUUAGCAUGGAAUAAUGAGAUAGGACUUUUUUGCUAUUUUGUUGGUUUGCGCAAGAAGGUAAUGAUUAAUAGGGACAGUUGGGGGUGUUCGUAUUCCAUUGUCAGAGGUGAAAUUCUUGGAUUUUUGGAAGACGAACUACUGCGAAAGCAUUUACCAAGGAUGUUUUCAUUAA
This 380-nucleotide ribosomal RNA is filed under the name uncultured eukaryote. RNAcentral's name for it is "partial 18S ribosomal RNA". It matches the Rfam family "Eukaryotic small subunit ribosomal RNA", at positions 592 to 976 of the family's 1831-position model. The record is from RNAcentral.